AUUGAACGCUGGCGGCAUGCCUAACACAUGCAAGUCGAGCGGAUGAACGGAGCUCGUGCUUGGAUUCAGUGACGGACGGGCGGGUAAUGCCUAGGAAUCUGCCUUGUCUAUGGGGCUAACGUCCGUUCACGGGCGCUAAUAUCGCAUACGUUAUGAUGUUGAAACUGGGGGAUCAUCGGUGCACACGCUACUUGCUGUCACUUAGACGUAUUAGCUAGUUGGUUGGGUAAAGGCGUACCAAGGCGACGAUCCGUAACUGGUCUGAGAGGCUGAUCAGUCACACUGGAACUGAGACACGGUCCAGACUCCUACGGGAGGCAGCAGUAGGGAAUAUUGGGCAAUGGGCGAAAGCCUGAUGCAGCAAUGCCGCGUGUGUGAAGAAGGUCUUCGGAUUGUAAAGCUCUGUUAGUAGGGAAGAACAGAUGUAAAAUAAUACGUGGAUGUUUUGACGGUACCUAAAGAGAAAGCACCGGCUAACUACGUG
This 484-nucleotide ribosomal RNA is filed under the name uncultured bacterium. RNAcentral's name for it is "partial 16S ribosomal RNA". It matches the Rfam family "Bacterial small subunit ribosomal RNA", at positions 30 to 507 of the family's 1533-position model. The record is from RNAcentral.